AUGUCCGCCAUCAUUCCAUUCUCUGUCACUGUGAUACCCAUUAUCUUAUCCUCUCCAUGUCCGCCAUCACUCCAUUCUCUGUCACUGUGAUACCCAUUAUCUUAUCCUCUCCAUGUCUGCCAUCAUUCCAUUCUCUGUCACUGUGAUACCCAUUAUCUUAUCCUCUCCAUGUCCGCCAUCACUCCAUUCUCUGUCACUGUGAUACCCAUUAUCUUAUCCUAUCCAUGUCCGCCAUCAUUCCAUUCUCUGUCACUGUGAUACCCAUUAUCUUAUCCUCUCCAUGUCCGCCAUCACUCCAUUCUCUGUCACUGUGAUACCCAUUAUCUUAUCCUAUCCAUGUCCGCCAUCACUCCAUUCUCUGUCACUGUGAUACCCAUUAUCUUAUCCUAUCCAUGUCCGCCAUCACUCCAUUCUGUCACUGUGAUACCCAUUAUCUUAUCCUAUCCAUGUCCGCCAUCAUUCCAUUCUCUGUCACUGUGAUACCCAUUAUCUUAGCCUAUCCAUGUCCACCAUCACUCCAUUCUCUGUCACUGUGAUACCCAUUAUCUUAUCCUAUCCAUGUCCGCCAUCAUUCCA
Pelobates cultripes (western spadefoot toad) is the source of this 576-nucleotide non-coding RNA. NCBI's taxonomy places the organism in Eukaryota, Metazoa, Chordata, Amphibia, Anura, Pelobatidae. The record is from the annotation of a GenBank genome assembly.